Molecule: ribosomal RNA, 225 nt
Filed under: uncultured bacterium
Lineage: Bacteria
Description: partial 16S ribosomal RNA
Rfam family: Bacterial small subunit ribosomal RNA
Source: RNAcentral
AGUAACGCGUAAGAACUUGCCUCACAGUUAGGGACAACAUUUGGAAACGAAUGCUAAUACCUAAUAUUAUGAUAAUAGGGCAUCCUAUAAUUAUGAAAGCUAUAAGCGCUGUGAGAGAGCUUUGCGUCCCAUUAGCUAGUUGGAGAGGUAACGGCUCACCAAGGCGAUGAUGGGUAGCCGGCCUGAGAGGGUGAUCGGCCACAAGGGGACUGAGACACGGCCCUU